RNAcentral lists this ribosomal RNA (795 nucleotides) under uncultured bacterium. RNAcentral describes it as "bacterial SSU rRNA". It matches the Rfam family "Bacterial small subunit ribosomal RNA", at positions 8 to 796 of the family's 1533-position model. The record is from RNAcentral.
AGAGUUUGAUCCUGGCUCAGGAUGAACGCUAGCGGCAGGCCUAACACAUGCAAGUCGAGGGGCAGCGCGGGUAGCAAUACCUGGCGGCGACCGGCGCACGGGUGAGUAACGCGUAUGCAACCUGCCCGCCACAGGGGGAUAGCCCGCCGAAAGGCGGAUUAAUACCCCAUCGCCCCACGUUCCGGCAUCGGGAUGUGGGUAAAGGAGCGAUCCGGUGGCGGAUGGGCAUGCGUGCCAUUAGCUAGUUGGCGGGGUAACAGCCCACCAAGGCGACGAUGGCUAGGGGGUCUGAGAGGAUGGUCCCCCACACUGGUACUGAGACACGGACCAGACUCCUACGGGAGGCAGCAGUGAGGAAUAUUGGUCAAUGGGCGGAAGCCUGAACCAGCCAUGCCGCGUGCAGGAAGACGGCCCUACGGGUUGUAAACUGCUUUUCCGGGGGAAGAAUAAUCCCGACGUGUCGGGAGACGACGGUACCCCGGGAAUAAGGAUCGGCUAACUCCGUGCCAGCAGCCGCGGUAAUACGGAGGAUCCGAGCGUUAUCCGGAUUUACUGGGUUUAAAGGGUGCGUAGGCGGGCGCUUAAGUCAGCGGUGAAAUGCGGGGGCUCAACCUUCGAACGGCCGUUGAUACUGGGCGCCUUGGAUUCGGUCGAGGCGGGCGGAAUGCGACAUGUAGCGGUGAAAUGCUUAGAUAUGUCGCAGAACGCCGAUUGCGAAGGCAGCUCGCCGGGCCGAUAUUGACGCUGAGGCACGAAAGCGUGGGGAUCGAACAGGAUUAGAUACCCUGGUAGUCC